GCUAGCGGCAGGCUUAAUACAUGCAAGUCGAGGGGCAGCAGGUCCCGCAGCAAUGCGGGAUGCUGGCGACCGGCAAACGGGUGCGGAACACGUACAGAACCUUCCUUCGAGCGGGGAAUAGCCCAGAGAAAUUUGGAUUAAUACCCCAUAGUAUUGUGGAGUGGCAUCACUUUACAAUUAAAGAUUUAUCACUUGAAGAUGGCUGUGCGGCUGAUUAGGUAGUUGGCGGGGUAACGGCCCACCAAGCCUGCGAUCAGUAACUGGUGUGAGAGCACGACCAGUCACACGGGCACUGAGACACGGGCCCGACUCCUACGGGAGGCAGCAGUAAGGAAUAUUGGUCAAUGGACGAAAGUCUGAACCAGCCAUGCCGCGUGGAGGAUGAAGGUCCUCUGGAUUGUAAACUUCUUUUAUAUGGGACGAAAAAAGGGUUUUCUAACUCGUCUGACGGUACCAUAUGAAUAAGCACCGGCUAACUCCGUGCCAGCAGCCGCGGUAAUACGGAGGGUGCAAGCGUUAUCCGGAUUCACUGGGUUUAAAGGGUGCGUAGGUGGGUUGGUAAGUCAGUGGUGAAAUCCCCGAGCUUAACUUGGGAACUGCCAUUGAUACUAUCAGUCUUGAAUACCGUGGAGGUCAGCGGAAUAUGUCAUGUAGCGGUGAAAUGC
This 665-nucleotide ribosomal RNA is filed under the name uncultured soil bacterium. RNAcentral's name for it is "bacterial SSU rRNA". It matches the Rfam family "Bacterial small subunit ribosomal RNA", at positions 35 to 689 of the family's 1533-position model. The record is from RNAcentral.